GAUGAACGCUGGCGGCGUGCCUAAUACAUGCAAGUCGAGCGAACGGACGAGAAGCCUGCUUCUCUGAUGUUAGCGGCGGACGGGUGAGUAACACGUGGAUAACCUACCUAUAAGACUGGGAUAACUUCGGGAAACCGGAGCUAAUACCGGAUAAUAUUUUGAACCGCAUGGUUCAAAAGUGAAAGACGGUCUUGCUGUCACUUAUAGAUGGAUCCGCGCUGCAUUAGCUAGUUGGUAAGGUAACGGCUUACCAAGGCAACGAUGCAUAGCCGACCUGAGAGGGUGAUCGGCCACACUGGAACUGAGACACGGUCCAGACUCCUACGGGAGGCAGCAGUAGGGAAUCUUCCGCAAUGGGCGAAAGCCUGACGGAGCAACGCCGCGUGAGCGAUGAAGGUCUUCGGAUCGUAAAACUCUGUUAUUAGGGAAGAACAUAUGUGUAAGUAACUGUGCACAUCUUGACGGUACCUAAUCAGAAAGCCACGGCUAACUACGUG
Molecule: ribosomal RNA, 497 nt
Filed under: uncultured bacterium
Lineage: Bacteria
Description: partial 16S ribosomal RNA
Rfam family: Bacterial small subunit ribosomal RNA
Source: RNAcentral